Molecule: unclassified non-coding RNA, 112 nt
Filed under: Drosophila melanogaster (fruit fly)
Lineage: Eukaryota; Metazoa; Arthropoda; Insecta; Diptera; Drosophilidae
Description: partial miscellaneous RNA
Rfam family: Arthropod 7SK RNA
Source: RNAcentral
GGUAACUGCAUCUGCUUAUCAGAUCUGUUCAGAGCCGACCCUCCGUCACACCUUUGUGUUUCCCAGUAAUUCUGCCUGGCAGUUGCCGUGGCUCCUCGUUCGGAUCGGCUUU